RNAcentral lists this long non-coding RNA (920 nucleotides) under Pan troglodytes (chimpanzee). RNAcentral's name for it is "lncRNA (ENSPTRG00000054216.1)". The record is from RNAcentral. Lineage: Eukaryota; Metazoa; Chordata; Mammalia; Primates; Hominidae.
UUUGAAAAAAUAUAUUCAACCAGCUUAAUUUUUCUAAUUUUGUUUUUGUUAAAUCCUGUUUUCUUAUUAACUAUUGAUUGCUAAGCAGCAGGCAGUGUGCUAAGUACGUUACCUGGAUUAUCCGGUUAAUCCUUCCAAUAGCUACACGGUGAAGACACAGAUGUCCACAUCUUCUGCAGAUAAGGAAACUGAGGGGUAAUAAUAAAUAAUUUGCACAACACAGCACAAAGCUGAGGAGCCAACACUGGACCUGACGAAGUCCCAUUCUGGAAGCCAAACUCCCAACUGCUAAGCUCUGCUUGAAUUCUCAUUGAGCAUCUCGCUUCUUUAAAGUUUCAACAACUCAGCAGUCUAUAAUCCAACUCGCCUUCUCCGCAAUGCCAAAAGUGCAAUGAGCUUCAUGCUGAAUACUGAUUUGAAGUGUGGUUCACCACACAGACUUAAAUUGUCCUUCCCACAACUUUAUCUGAGAAGCCUGACAACGGUGACAAUCACAGGACUAGUUUUAUUGGACAGGCAACUUUCUGGGUCUGAGAAAGAGAAGGCUUCCAGGAGGUCUGCAGCCACCUGCUUCAGCCACUGCUGGUAUCCACAUCUUCAAAGCGGAGGUUUAGCCACACCCAGAGGGGGGAAUAAUACUUGCAGAAAACAACGCUCAGAAAUUGGUGUCACCUGAUUCCCCGCAGCAGAGCAGACCAGCUGUCUCCUGUACAGGUGGAAGCAGCUUGCACGCUUCCUGCCAUCCGCAUGCUCACUCCUCCCUCACAGUCCCAGAAAUGGAAUCCCAAGAGGCCGCUCAGGCAAGCCAGAUAGAGCCACCCAUGUGAUCAAGCAUUCAGGGCGUGAGGGCCCCCACUGCCAUGGCCCAGAAAAUACAUGCAUCAACAUGACUCAUGUCAUUUGCUUGCCCUUGGUGAAUU